This is a long non-coding RNA of Ctenocephalides felis (cat flea), 694 nucleotides long. RefSeq lists it as uncharacterized. The record is from RefSeq and is a predicted model, not a curated record. The transcript has 7 exons. Lineage: Eukaryota; Metazoa; Arthropoda; Insecta; Siphonaptera; Pulicidae.
UUAAGCAACUUGUUCAUAGUGAUAAUUGUAGAAAAGUGUAGAAAAAUGACACCUGCAUUAUAUCCUGGGAUGAAGAAACGUUAUUUUAUGUCGAUUUCUUUAGAUGACAAAGGAGGUAACCAAAUAGCAUAUCUUACAAAAUCUGAGGACAAUAAUAAGGAUCGUUUAGCAAGUCGGUUGAGAAGCGGAUCGAGAAUGAUUGUUUGAAUAUAAGUCGUACAAAAUUGGAAUGAAACGAUGAACAAUAUACAGAUCUUUAGACAGGCUCAAAUAAUGUAUGUUUAGGAGGCAAUUGAAGAUAAUGGAGAUUUAUCUUCUUAAUAUAAAACCUCUAAAAUUGGGAACAGUAUGUCAUAUAUGCAUGAACUUGAUUGAUGUAUUGAUGUAUAAUGAACUGAAGAUAGAAUGAAUUCAAUCAGGUUAAAAAAAAUGUAUGUGCAAAGCGACUCGAAGACGAUUUAGAUUUGUCUCCUGAAUAUAAAACUUCCAAGAAGUACAACAUAUAUGAAUAUCCUGUAUCCUCGCAUUUGAACUGGCGAUAGAAUGAAAUCAGUCAGUGUUAAAAAUGUAUAUGUAAAAGCGACUUUAAGAUGAUGGAGAUUUGUACACUGAACAUAAAACUUCCAAAAUUUGGGGCAGUAUGUCAUAUGUGCAUAAUCUGUAUCCUGGCAUUUGAUGCAAUGAACUGGCAAUA